CAAUAGCGUAUAUUAAAGUUGUUGCAGUUAAAAGGCUCGUAGUUGGAUUUCUGAUCGAGACAUCAGGUCGGGUCCGAGAGGAUCAUGUACUUUGAUUUUGUUUUGAUCAUCCUUGGGGAGAGCAUUUCUGGCAUUCAGUUGUCGGGAUUGGGAUCCUCAUCGUUUACUGUGAAAAAAUUAGAGUGUUCAAAGCAGGCCUCGGCCUCUGAAUACAUUAGCAUGGAAUAAUAAGAUAGGACUUUGGUGGUCUAUUUUGUUGGUUUGCACGCCAAAGUAAUGAUUAAUAGGGAUAGUUGGGGGUAUUCGUAUUCAAUUGUCAGAGGUGAAAUUCUUGGAUUUAUGGAAGACGAACUACUGCGAAAGCAUUUACCAAGGAUGUUUUCAUUAA
This 388-nucleotide ribosomal RNA is filed under the name uncultured eukaryote. RNAcentral's name for it is "partial 18S ribosomal RNA". It matches the Rfam family "Eukaryotic small subunit ribosomal RNA", at positions 592 to 976 of the family's 1831-position model. The record is from RNAcentral.